Molecule: long non-coding RNA, 3267 nt
Organism: Chinchilla lanigera (long-tailed chinchilla)
Lineage: Eukaryota; Metazoa; Chordata; Mammalia; Rodentia; Chinchillidae
Exons: 5
Source: RefSeq, a predicted model, not a curated record
GUUCCAGCUGGGAACAUACCUCUGCCACUACCACCAGCAGAACAGCCUGGCUCUCACCGCCACAGCAGCGCCAGCCCAAUGGCAAUGCAGACAGAUGCACAAAACUGACUUCCCCGGAGGCCUUCUCUCAGAAGUGAGUGGCCUGGAUCUAUGUACCUCUUCCUGCCUGGCCUGGACUGGAAAUCCCACCGCAGAGGGCACAUCUCAUGGGAAAUGUGGCCAUGCCUCCAAAUAUAGGAACGGCCUGGAGAAAACAUCCCAUCCCACCCCAGGGGGGCGCCACUGAGCAGAAUCUUCUCAGCAUGUGGGAUCAGAAAACACCGAUCAUGUGCAAGUCUCUGUGAUGGGUCUACGCACUCCCGUGGAAACCCAGCCUGUCCAGCUUGGCAGUGAAUUCUCAUGUACUGAAAUUGGAGCUGGCAGCCUGCUCAUCCAGACCUCUGCUCGCCCAGACGGAUGUGUCCACUGUGAUGCUGUCUUCGUGUCCACGAUAAAGAAAAUGAGUUUGAAAGAUGUUAAAUAAGUUGUCAAAAGGUCAACGAGUCACAGGACUGCGACGUGACAUUGGAACUGGGACUGUACGCUGCCUGAUGUUUGCCAGUUACUGAUUUGUAAAAAGUGAAAAAGGUGAUUGUGGUAGCAGUGUUCUCACUCCGGGCAGGAUAGUUUGAAACUCUGUGCCACCUCUUGUCUGAGCAGUACUUUGGUUGGUCCUCAAUUUGUCAAAGAAGGGCAGUCCAGGAUCCAAAAAGUGAAAAGCAACAUCCUCCUGCCCUCGUUCUGCCUCAGAGAGUUUCAGGGACUUGCUCUGAUCCUGCCCCGUAUGCCCUUGGCCUUCUCAGCCUGAGGAGACUGCGUGUUCUCAGUGGGUCCCCAUAAGAUCCUUGCAGUGUGGCUUGGCCUGGCCUGACACUAACUUUUUAGAAGCCAACCUGCCACAUUAACCAUGUUCAGAUCCUCGUGUAGAGCCAGCACCUCAGCAGAGUCACCUAAACCUCGCAGCAUGGAGCCUGGUGCAGUGCACACAUGCUGUGUGCCUGAAGAAUGAACGAAUGUUGUAUUAUUUAGGGCUGCAAUAACGUGGCUUAAACAAUGGAAAUUUAUUCUCUCACACUUGUAGAGGCCAGAAGUCUAAAGUCAGGUGAGGGCCCCAGCAGAGAAGGCUUCUUGCUUGCUCUCUCCUAGCGGUGGGUGGUGGUGGUGGUCUUUGGUGUUUCUUAUCUAAUACGGUACAAGAGAUCUUUUCAUGUUAGUCCACGUGGCCAGCUGUCUUUCUCUUCAUCUAAGGACACCAGUUGUACAGCACCCACCUCAAUGAUCUCAUCUUCACGUGAUUACAUCUAAAAUGACUCUAUUCCCACAUAAUGUCACAUCACAGGCACCAGAGGUUAGGAUGUAGACAUAUCUUUUGUGAAGACAUAACUCAACCCAUAACAACCAUGAAGGGCAGUUUGCUCGUGGUCUGAUUUUCAAUUACAAAGCUCUCAGGGCUUGGUUCGUCACAGGAAGGUCAGUAGUACUUCUGGGUUGUGUUGUUUUACACACUGCGGAGGUGAACUUGUUUCUCCUGUGACUCCUUUCCUUUUUUAUUAGCCUAUCAGUGAUGCUUUGUGGUCACUAUAAUGACUGUGUUUACUCUAAGCUUAAGUACCUGUGUUUCUCUCUUUCGUAUUAGGUAUAAAAUGGAAUAUUAACUUGGAAUAGAGCCUCUCCCUCUUGGGCAAUGGCAAGAACAUUCUACUCUAAAUAAGUCAAGCCGACCUUGCAUUUUUACCGAAGCUCACACUCCUCUGACUGUUCCUUAAGCCUCUUCACAGUCCAGCCCCAACUCCCCUUCCCGGCUGCUCCUCCAUUCUCAAACUCCCGGGGCUCCGCACAGUGCUGAUUUGUCCUUCCCUGAAAUGCCCCUUGAGCUUCCACCCCUGUGCCUUUGCUGUAUCCCUUCCGGAAGCCUCUUCCCAUAUCUAGCGUCUCCUUUUGAUUUUUUUUUUUUUUUUUUUUUGGUUUUUCUCCGGUACCGGGAACCGAACUCACGACCUUGCGCUUGCCAGGCAAGCGCUUUUGCCGCUCAGCUAAAUCCCCAGCCCCUAGCGUCUCCUUUUGAGAUUCUCGCUAGUCUUUAAGGUCAAAUUCAAAGGCAACCUCCUCAGGAAGCCUUCCCUGAUCCUCCACCUUCUCUCCCUCAGAGGGCUGGUGGCCCUGGUUAACCUUUGGUAAACCACUACCCACAGGCUACUCUGGUCAGAAGGACUUUGUCUUUCCUCCUCCUCCCUCCCGUCACAAAGCAAGAAUGAAGAGAAGUCUGGCGGCCCUCAUAGGAGAUAGAGCUGAGGGUGCUGGGGCUGUUUCCUUGGAAGAGAUGCAUACCCUAAGCUUCCUUCAACUGCUGAGAUUCUAUCAGACUAUGAGCACCUUACGGAAACUACUCCUGGUUUCUUUGGUAGUCCUUUACACACACAUGUGCACACGUCUGUGCCUGGCAUAAGCCAUGCUCAAACUCCGACUCCUGUCUGAUGUAAGAGUCAUCCGCUUAUCAGGUGAUGUGGGAAGCAGAAUUCUAAGAUGGCCCCAGGAUUUCCUGCAGCCAGGUGCAUAUGUCCAAAACAAUCCCAGGACUGAGAGAAGAUCUUAACCCAGUGACUAAGCUAUGCUGUAUGGCAUAUUGACUGAAUAUAGGGAGAUGACCUGGGUGAGCUUGACCUAACCCCAAGAACCCUCAAAAAGCAACUGGCCCAGGAGGGAGAACAAGAACUUCGAAGUGAGAGAUCUGACAGGAGGGCCUGGUGGGUGAGCCAGAGCAAGCCACAUAGCAAGGAUGUGAGUGGCCUCUAGGAGCUAAAAGCAGUCAGACCCUACCUGGUGCAGGAGCUAAGAGCAGCCAGCAAGACAAUUGGACACAGGUUCACAACCGUAAGAAAAUGAAUUCUGCCUACGAUUCAAGCAGAUCUCUACCUGGUCAAGCCAUCAGAUACAGCUGCAGCUGGCUGGACUCCUGACCGUAGGAAUGGUGAGCCAGUGAGUGGGGGUUAUUUUAAUUUGCUCUGCAUGUGAAAAGUAUCCUAUUAGUAGUGGGGAAAUACAAACUAAAAUAACAGUAAUACAUGACUCUUAAUCCAGGGUGAAUGGCAGAAACUCCUGAACUUAUCCAGUGUGGACAAUAAUAAGGAAAUAUAUGAGCAUACCAACACACAUAUGAUAACACUUCAAAAUAAGGCUUUCUGAUGUGACAAUAAAAAAUUGAAAAGGCUGAGGCAAGAGAAUCAAAAG